UACGUAGGGUGCAAGCGUUGUCCGGAAUUAUUGGGCGUAAAGAGCUCGUAGGCGGUUUGUCGCGUCUGCUGUGAAAAUCCAGGGCUUAACCCUGGACCUGCAGUGGGUACGGGCAGACUAGAGUGCGGUAGGGGAGAUCGGAAUUCCUGGUGUAGCGGUGAAAUGCGCAGAUAUCAGGAGGAACACCGGUGGCGAAGGCGGCUACCUGGACAGAAACUGACGCUGAGGCGCGAAAGCUAGGGGAGCAAACAGG
RNAcentral lists this ribosomal RNA (253 nucleotides) under uncultured bacterium. RNAcentral's name for it is "partial 16S ribosomal RNA". It matches the Rfam family "Bacterial small subunit ribosomal RNA", at positions 524 to 776 of the family's 1533-position model. The record is from RNAcentral.